CCCGCCCUAGCUCAGUGGUAGAGCGCCCGGCUGUAGACCGGGUGGUCGCUGGUUCAAGUCCGGCGGGCGGGACCA
Molecule: transfer RNA, 75 nt
Filed under: Candidatus Methanomethylicus mesodigestus
Lineage: Archaea; Thermoproteati; Thermoproteota; Methanosuratincolia; Candidatus Methanomethylicales; Candidatus Methanomethylicaceae
Also listed under: 3 other names
Description: tRNA-Tyr
Rfam family: tRNA
About the family: Transfer RNA (tRNA) molecules are approximately 80 nucleotides in length. Their secondary structure includes four short double-helical elements and three loops (D, anti-codon, and T loops).
Source: RNAcentral